Molecule: ribosomal RNA, 403 nt
Filed under: Acanthamoeba genotype T4
Lineage: Eukaryota; Discosea; Longamoebia; Acanthamoebidae
Description: SSU rRNA
Rfam family: Eukaryotic small subunit ribosomal RNA
Source: RNAcentral
AUACAUUAGCAUGGGAUAUGGAAUAGGACCCUGUCCUCCUAUUUUCAGUUGGUUUUGGCAGCCGGAGACUAGGGUAAUGAUUAAUAGGGAUAGUUGGGGGCAUUAAUAUUUAAUUGUCAGAGGUGAAAUUCUUGGAUUUAUGAAAGAUUAACUUCUGCGAAAGCAUCUGCCAAGGAUGUUUUCAUUAAUCAAGAACGAAAGUUAGGGGAUCGAAGACGAUCAGAUACCGUCGUAGUCUUAACCAUAAACGAUGCCGACCAGCGAUUAGGAGACGUUGAAUACAAACACCACCAUCGGUGCGGUCGUCCUUGGCGUCGGUCUUUCGGGGCCGGCGCGGGGACGGCCUUAGCCCGGGAGGCACCGGUGAAUGACUCCCUAGCAACUGUGAUUGUGAAGAGAAGAA